This 490-nucleotide ribosomal RNA is filed under the name uncultured bacterium. Its description in RNAcentral is "partial 16S ribosomal RNA". It matches the Rfam family "Bacterial small subunit ribosomal RNA", at positions 30 to 507 of the family's 1533-position model. The record is from RNAcentral.
AUUGAACGCUGGCGGCAGGCCUAACACAUGCAAGUCGAAUGGUAACAGGAAACAUCUUGCUGUUUCGCUGACGAGUGGCGGACGGGUGAGUCAUGUCUGGGAAACUGGCUGAUGGAGGGGGCUAACUGCUGGACACGGUAGCUCAUCCCGCAUAACGUCGCAAGACCAAAGAGGCGGACCUUCGGGCCUCUUGCCAUCAGAUGUGUCCCGAGGGGAUUAGCUAGUAGGUGGGGUAACGGCUCACCCAGGCGACGAUCCCUAGCUGGUCUGAGAGGAUGACCAGCCACACUGGAACUGAGACACGGUCCAGACUCCUACGGGAGGCAGCAGUGGGGAAUAUUGGACAAUGGGCGCAAGCCUGAUGCAGCAAUGCCGCGUGUAUGAAGAAGGCCUUCGGGUUGUAAAGCACUUUCAGCGGGGAAGAAGGGAGUAGAGUUAAUACCGUCGCGGAUUGACGUUACCGGAAGAAGAAGCACCGGCUAACUCCGUG